Elaeis guineensis (African oil palm) is the source of this 4337-nucleotide RNA transcript. It is a transcript of the gene named putative disease resistance protein RGA4, with no coding region annotated. The record is from RefSeq and is a predicted model, not a curated record. NCBI's taxonomy places the organism in Eukaryota, Viridiplantae, Streptophyta, Magnoliopsida, Arecales, Arecaceae.
AGAAAGAAAGGAGCUCUGAGGGGGGAAUAGUGGUUGCUUCACCAUGGGGCCAGAGCUGGCAAUCGCCGGGUGGUUUGCGUCUGCUGCAAUCAGUCAGCUGAUUGGCUUGGCCUUCUCCUACAUAAGGGAGCAGCCCGUGUGGUUGAAGAUGAAGGAAGAAUUAGAGGAGCUACAUGCUGCCCUUGUACGGAUCCGAGCAGUUGUGGAGAAGGUCGAGAAGCUGCAGAUCAUCAAUGACUGCACCCCGGCACAGGAAGCAUGGCUGUGGCAGCUGAAAGAUGCUGUGGACGGGGCCAAUGACGUGCUGGAUGAGUUGGAAUACCACAAGCUCGAAGAAGAUGUGCAGAGCGGAGGAGAAAAGGUGCGUGCCACUGCCUCUAAUUACACUAAGAAAAUUAUGAGAUCUACCACUUUUUCCUUGAAGCAUGCUAAGGGUUUAAAGAAGAAGUUGAAGAAAGCUGUCAAAAAUCUACUUCGUAUUGCUGAUUCUGCUGGAGAUUUCCUUAAAUUUCAUGAUCUGUCAAAUGAAUAUGAGAAGAGGCAGCAGCAGAUUAGAGCUCACGAGUCUGGCUGCUUGUUGACUGAAGACAAAGUGUUUGGGCGGGAAAAAGAGAAGGAGAAGAUAGUUGAGUGGUUGAAGAAAUCCGGAAGCGGCGAGCAUGAAUCCAGUGUUAAGAAAAAUGUUACACUUCUCCCAAUAGUUGGUAUGCCUGGAAUCGGAAAGACUACUCUAGCUCAACUUGUUUAUGGCGAGGGGAGCUUUGAUCUAAGAAUGUGGGUUUGUGUUUCCAAUUAUUUUGAUGUGACAGUUAUAAUGAGGAAGAUGAUUCAGGAAGCAGCCAUAACAGAACGUCCAGCAGAAGCAGUUAGUACACUUCAAAAGAUUAUUGCAGAAGAGCUAAAGUCCAAGAAGUUUCUGUUAGUCUUGGAUGACGUGUGGAAUGACGGUGAUAGGAAGAAGUGGAAGGAUCUGGUAGCUCCUUUGCAAUAUGGGAAGCAGGGGAGCAAGAUAUUGUUAACAACUAGAAUGAAUUCAGUUGCAGAAAUGAUUGGUAAAGUAAUGGAGGGAACCGAGGAACCAAUGAAUUUGCAGGGCAUAGAAUGGAGUGAGUAUCUUUCACUUUUCAACAAGCAUGCAUUUGAUGGUGUAGACACUGGGGAUCAUGAAAAACUUCAACUGAUUGGCGAGCAAAUAGCAAAGAAUUUAGGGCAAUCGCCCUUGCUGGCAAGAACUGUGGGAGGAAUGUUAAAUUCUAACUUGAGCGUUGAGUUUUGGAAUGAGGUUUUGGAAAAUGGCGUUUUCAAUUCAAUACAGAAUGAGGACUUCCAGCCAAUACUGAGAUUAAAUUAUAUUCACCUUUCACCACAGCUACAGCAGUGUUUCAGAUAUUGUAGUAUAUUUCCCCAAGACCAUGCGUCUCGAAAGGAUGAAUUGGUCCGGAUGUGGAUGGCCGUAGGGUUAAUCCAGCAGGAUGAUAAGAAAAGAAGGCCAGAAGAUAUAGGUGGAGAGUACUUUGAUAGUCUAUUACGGAAAUCUUUCUUCAAUCUCCUGCAGGCUUAUCAGUUCACAUACUAUGUCAUCCAUGAUCUGCUGCAUGAAAUGGUAUUCUCUGUCUCUGAGGGUGAAUGCUUGGGAGUUGACUACAGCAAGCCAAACCCAAGAAAUAUCCCAACGACCCUUCGUCACUUAUUUAUCAUGGUUGAUGAUCCACGUGUGCUCAGUAAGGUGCCUCCGCUGGAAAACUUACACUCUCUUGUCCUAACUACUCGUUGUUGUUGUGAUCAUAAAUGGGAUGAUAUCCUUAAUAAGGUGCUCAAAGGAUUCAAAAGCUUGAGGGUUCUGAAAUUAGAGUCAUUUGGAGAGCGCAAGCUCGAGUCCAAGCUCGAGUCCCUGAAUGCAAUUGGUGAUCUAAAGCACCUCCGAUAUUUGCAUCUUGACAUGCUUGUUGAAGGAACUCAAUUGCCUAAAUCAGUGUGCAAGCUCUAUCACCUACAGACCAUGAUUGUUCCAAGUUCCGAUCCUUCUAUAGGAAGCAUUGGUAAAGACAUGAGAAGCCUGAUUAACCUGCGACAUCUGAUCCUGCCUUUGGAAGAAAUUACCACAAUAGUUGAGGGUGGGAAACUUACUGCCCUCCAGGAGCUGGAUGAAUUCUAUGUCAGGAAGGAGAAUGGAUGCAACAUAGGUGCAUUAAAGCACUUGCGGGAGCUCCGUGGUACACUAAGCAUCCGGAAUCUUGAGAAUGUAGAAAGCUAUGAAGAUGCGAUGGUGGCCGACUUGCUUAAUAAGAAACAUCUCCGCAAACUACAGUUGGAAUGGGUUUAUGAUUCGAAUAGCACUCCUGAGGUGGCAGCGAAGGUAAUUGAUGGGCUCCAACCACAUUCUAGUCUUGAAGAUCUGGAAAUUUUUGGGUACAACGGUGCUGAUCCUCCGCGUUGGUUGGCAACUCAAGAUCUCAACAUGCUAGGAUCCAUCACUUUGAGCAGCUGCAAAAACUUGAAGCUCCUCCCACCCUUUGAGAAGCUACCUUUCCUCAAGUCUCUGUUUCUCAUUGAUAUGAAGGCAUUGACAGAAGUUUCUUUCACUACUCUUCCAAAGUUGGAGGUUCUGAAUCUUUGGAAUAUACCGCAGUUGAAGAAGUGGUCUGGUGAUGGUCGAUGGUUUCCUUGCCUCAAGUCUCUGUCUCUUAGAGGAAUGAGGGCAUUGACAGAAGUUUCUUUCACUACUUUUGAAAACUUGGAGGAUCUGGAGUUUUGGGGCAUACCGCAGUUGGAGAAGUGGUCUGGUGUAGGGGAUGGUCCAUGGUUUCCUUGCCUCAAGACUCUUACCAUUAGAGAUUGCUCUGUAUUGGUGCAAUUGCCCCCACAACCGCAUCGUCUGGAGGCACUGCAAAUAUCUGAAGUAGUGGGAUUGACUACUCUUCCAAGACUUUGGCAAUGUCAAAAUAAUGAUUGCGGGAGCCCGUCACCGUCGAAGCCUGGUAACCUAAUGAUUCGGUCUUGCCCCAAGCUAACGUCUCUAGCUGAAUGGUUGCUGCGACAUGCGGACCAUUUUAUGGACGUUGAGAUUUUGUCCAUCGAGAAAUGUAACGAGCUAGUGCAUCUGCCGGUGGAAGGAUUCCAAAAAUUCAAAUCCCUAAGAAGCCUCUAUAUAUCGGAGUGCCCACGUUUGCAGAGACACAAUGCGCCUCAUGACGACUUCUUUCUUCCCUCGUCAGUCGAGAAUAUCAUGAUACGUGAUUGUGGUGAGAUGGAUGCAUCACUGCUUGGUGCAAUGCAGCACCUUGCAUAUCUCUCUGGGUUGUUCUUGUUGGAAUGCACAACCAUCACAUCCCUCCCCUCAGCAAAGGUGUUCAGAGGACUCAAGAAACUUCACCAAUUGAUCAUUCGUGAAUGUAGAGAGUUAACAUCAUUGGGAGGUUUACAAGCACUCACCUCACUCAAACACUUGGAGAUCAGAGGAUGCCCCAAGCUCGUGGAAGCAGCAGCAGCAGCAGUUACGCCACCAUUAACCAGUGAUCCUGACGAGCGGGCAGCUGAUGGCUCUUCAUUGUCGCUCGACAUGCUCAAGAUUGAUGACCCCUCGUUGCUGCACUUGGAGCCAUUAAGAAGCCUUACAUCCGUUCAACAUUUGGACUUGCGAGAUUGCUUCCGGCCCACAUCCUUGUCUGAAGAAUGGCUGUUACAAGUCCGCAGUUCCCUCCAACAGCUGUCGUUGUUGCAGGCAGUCCUGCCUGUGAGCUUGAAAGAACUCUGCUCCCUCCACGUGCUAGAGUUAAGUGGGCUCCCUCGACUCCAGUCACUGCCAGCACUACCCAAUUCACUGAAGACUCUGCGCAUCCGUCACUGUGAUUCAACGUUGGAGGACCUUCUCCUUGGCCAAGGUUGGAAUACGGGGCUCGAGCACUGCUUUCUAGGAAAGACAUUCACUCGAAAUGAAGCACAUAACUAGCAAAUUGUUACUGUGCCAUCUCUUUUGGUUGCUUUCAGAGGACAUUGGGCUCUCUUUUAUGAAUGCCAUGCCCUACAUAUUGAGGCUGUGCAGGUUCGUAGAUUUUGCAGGUUAUUUAUGAGAUGUAUGAUACAACAGACCAGCAACUUUUAAUUUUGGAGUCUUAAAGAAGAGAUAAUUGUGUAAUUCAGGAGGAAGCAAUGGUUUGUAAAUUUAUGAUGGGAGAGUAAUUGGACUAUGCUCCUCUUUCAGCGAGAGAGAAAAGAGAGAGAGAGAGUUUGCAUCCAUGUUGUGGCGUAAAUUGUGGUUUGUUCUGAAGCAAUAAUUGGAACUAUCUAGUGCUGCUAUUUGGCAUUUGGCACAAAUAAUCAUUCAAUCUUUAUUGACU